Pelobates cultripes (western spadefoot toad) is the source of this 212-nucleotide non-coding RNA. Lineage: Eukaryota; Metazoa; Chordata; Amphibia; Anura; Pelobatidae. The record is from the annotation of a GenBank genome assembly.
GGCUGAGCGUGUGUGCCUGCUGACUGCGUGAACCCAGUCAGGCUGGCCCAUGUGAGUCAUAUAUGCAAGUCCCAGCAAUGGCAACUGUUGUUAGCGGUUAGUCCCAUAGUUGCGGUACAGCUUUAGGCAGCGGGCUUUAAUUCAGCCUAUUCCCGAGGAUGGGAAGUGUGAGUCUUGUGCACUGAGGGCGAGGGUGGCUGUUGCAGUCCGAU